Molecule: ribosomal RNA, 463 nt
Filed under: uncultured bacterium
Lineage: Bacteria
Description: partial 16S ribosomal RNA
Rfam family: Bacterial small subunit ribosomal RNA
Source: RNAcentral
GAUGAACGCUGACAGAAUGCUUAACACAUGCAAGUCGAUGGGGAAGUGGUGCUUGCACCCUGGCAACCAUGGCGGACGGGUGAGUAACGCGUAAGGGACUUACCUGCAGGACUGGGAUAACAGGGGGAAACUCCUGACAAGACCGGAUAAUGUCAUGGAGCUGCAUGGCUUUAUGAUGAAAGGAGACGCCUGCGGAGAGCCUUGCGUCCUAUUAGCUAGUUGGUGAGGUAAUGGCUCACCAAGGCGAAGAUAGGUAGCCGGCCUGAGAGGGUGGACGGCCACAAGGGGACUGAGAUACGGCCCUUACUCCUACGGGAGGCAGCAGUGGGGAAUAUUGGACAAUGGGGGUAACCCUGAUCCAGCAAUUCUGUGUGCACGAAGAAGGUUUUCGGAUUGUAAAGUGCUUUCAGCAGGGAAGAAGUAAGUGACGGUACCUGCAGAAGAAGCGACGGCUAAAUACGUG